RNAcentral lists this long non-coding RNA (483 nucleotides) under Homo sapiens (human). RNAcentral's name for it is "osteoglycin (ENSG00000291350.1)". The record is from RNAcentral. Lineage: Eukaryota; Metazoa; Chordata; Mammalia; Primates; Hominidae.
UCAGCCUAUCUUUACGCACGAUUCAACAAAAUUAAAAAGCUGACUGCCAAAGAUUUUGCAGACAUACCUAACUUAAGAAGACUCGAUUUUACAGGAAAUUUGAUAGAAGAUAUAGAAGAUGGUACUUUUUCAAAACUUUCUCUGUUAGAAGAACUUUCACUUGCUGAAAAUCAACUACUAAAACUUCCAGUUCUUCCUCCCAAGCUCACUUUAUUUAAUGCAAAAUACAACAAAAUCAAGAGUAGGGGAAUCAAAGCAAAUGCAUUCAAAGUAAGUAUUUUAUAGUAAAACUAAGCAUAGUAUGAGUGAUGAUAUGAUAGAUAAAAGAGAAACUUUGGUCUAGAAUUGUAUUUUGAUUACACUUAAAAACUAUUUUGAUUUAAUAAAUGAAGACAUUAUUUACAUAAUAAAUAACCAUCCUAUUAGGCUCAUUCAGCCUAGCUUAUACCCAUAUCUCAGUUAAAAUACAUAACCUUUAUUUUA